GAUGAAGAACGCAGCGAAAUGCGAUAAGUAAUGUGAAUUGCAGAAUUCAGUGAAUCAUCGAAUCUUUGAACGCACCUUGCACCCUUUGGCAUUCCGAAGGGUAUGCUCGUUUGAGUGUCAUUGUACUCUCACACUCCCAAUUGCUUUGGAUUGGGAGCGGUGGACUUGGGUGUUGCUGCUUGACUGAGGCUCACCUGAAAUAUGUUAGUGCACCUCUUGAUUGGACAUAGUACGGCGUGAUAAGUGUCUUCGCCGGCUCCUCGCAAAGAGGGUGGCCGAUCGGGAGCUCUGUUGCUUCAAACUGUCUUCGGACAAUCUUCUGGCGACUUGACCUCAAAUCGAGUAGGACUACCCGCUGAACUUAAGCAUAUCAAUAAGCGGAAGA
This 385-nucleotide unclassified non-coding RNA is filed under the name soil metagenome. Its description in RNAcentral is "partial contains 5.8S ribosomal RNA, internal transcribed spacer 2, and large subunit ribosomal RNA". The stretch from base 1 to 120 matches the Rfam family "5.8S ribosomal RNA", at positions 35 to 154 of the family's 154-position model. The record is from RNAcentral.